Molecule: ribosomal RNA, 164 nt
Filed under: uncultured bacterium
Lineage: Bacteria
Description: partial 16S rRNA
Rfam family: Bacterial small subunit ribosomal RNA
Source: RNAcentral
UAGGGAAUCUUCCACAAUGGACGCAAGUCUGAUGGAGCAACGCCGNGUGAGUGAAGAAGGUCUUCGGAUCGUAAAACUCUGUUGUUAGAGAAGAACACGAGUGAGAGUAACUGUUCAUACGUUGACGGUAUUUAACCAGAAAGUCACGGCUAACUACGUGCCAA